UACAGAGACCUCGAGCGUUAUCCGGAAUCAUUGGGCGUAAAGCGUACCGAUCGGUGGUCAUGAAAGUCAGAAGUGAAAUUACGAAGCUCAACUUCGUAACUGUCUUUUGAAACUUCAUGACUAGAGGGACAAAGAGGAAGCUGGAACAAACGGUGUAGUAGUGAAAUGCGUUGAUAUCGUUUGGAACACCAAUAGCGAAGGCAGGCUUCUGGGUGUCACCUGACACUGCUAGGACGAAAGCGUGGGGAGCGAAUGGG
Molecule: ribosomal RNA, 257 nt
Filed under: uncultured bacterium
Lineage: Bacteria
Description: partial 16S ribosomal RNA
Rfam family: Bacterial small subunit ribosomal RNA
Source: RNAcentral